UACGUAGGGUGCAAGCGUUGUCCGGAAUUAUUGGGCGUAAAGAGCUCGUAGGUGGUUCGGUAAGUCGGGUGUGAAAUCUCCAGGCUCAACCUGGAGGGGUCAUUCGAUACUGCCGUGACUAGAGGUCGGUAGGGGAGUGUGGAAUUCCUGGUGGAGCGGUGAAAUGCGCAGAUAUCAGGAGGAACACCCGUAGCGAAGGCGGCACUCUGGGCCGAUACUGACACUGAGGAGCGAAAGCGUGGGGAGCGAACAGG
Molecule: ribosomal RNA, 254 nt
Filed under: uncultured bacterium
Lineage: Bacteria
Description: partial 16S ribosomal RNA
Rfam family: Bacterial small subunit ribosomal RNA
Source: RNAcentral